Non-coding RNA from Apodemus sylvaticus (European woodmouse), 1278 nucleotides. The record is from the annotation of a RefSeq genome assembly. Lineage: Eukaryota; Metazoa; Chordata; Mammalia; Rodentia; Muridae.
UGAGUGUUUAGCAAACGCAAGUGACAAGAAUCAGAUGUUCAAAAGCUUCCAGGGUCGCGUUUGCAGCGUCACUUUUUUUCUGAGCGGGAGACUUCUCCAGAAGACCCUUCCCCACACUUGCUUCCAAGCUCCUGCUUUCCUCAGCCCCUUUCCUGCCUGUCCUGUUCCAGAGUUCCUCCACAACAGAGCUGCAGCCUUCUGGAGGCUCAACCAUGCUCCUGGCGCUCCUCCCAGUGUUGGGGAUACACUUUCUCCUGAGAGAAGCCCAAGCUCAGUCAGUGACUCAGCCUGAUGCUCUUGUCACUGUCUCUGAAGAAGCCUCUCUGCAGCUGAGAUGCAAGUAUUCCUCCCCUGGGGCAUCUUACCUGUUCUGGUAUGUGCAGUACCCACGACAAGGGCUGCAGCUGCUCCUCAAGUACUAUUCAGGAGAAUCAGUGGUUCAAGGAGUGAAUGGCUUCAAGGCUACGUUCAACAAGAGUGACUCUUCCUUCCACCUGCAGAAAGCCUCUGCUCACUGGCGCGACUCGGCUGUGUACUUCUGUGCUCUGAGCGCACAGUGUGUGGGGCUGCAGGGGGAGCGGAACACAAACACCCACUCAGCGGGUGCUCAGAUUCACGAUGGCUCCUUGUGGUCUCCGAAGCAUCUCUUUUACAUUGACGAGGAGAAAGGGGAAGUUGUGCAGUCCUAGCUGCCUUUGCACAGCUCAUUUCCAGCUGAAAUACCCACUGUCUGACUUCCUCUUAGAAGGUCUUUGCAUAUUUUCAAAAUUAGACAAUGCUCAAUCAUAAUUCUUUAGGAUGGAGGAGACUUUCAUUUUUCUUUGAGAACCAUUUCCUGAGUGGGCAUUGCUCGGACAGUGACUACACGAAGCACCUGAUUGUGUCUGUGAGGAAAGACCAGAAACUUUUAUUUGUCAUUUUAUAUUUCAUCUACACAGAAAGUGAAAGGUGUGCUUUUCAGCUUUUACCUUCACUGCUGCCUUUCAUGCUGAUUUUCCUAUAAAUUCUUCUUUUGGUGCUAAUUACACUGAUCAGAAUUGGUCACAAUAUUCAAGUUCUUCCAUUUAGGAAAGAAUCUGAUACAUUGUUAGUUGAUAUAGAAGUUUACCAGAAACAGGAAAACAUACAGAUCUGUCAUAAUUAUGUCAGUUCUAGCAACCAUUAAAAAUAAAAUAGGAGAAUAGGAAAUUCGAGCUCACUGGUAUUUUUUUUUCAAAAGAAUGCUUCAUAAUUAUAAAUGUACUACCCUAUUUUUGUUGCCAUCUUAAAUUUGGAAAA